RNAcentral lists this ribosomal RNA (480 nucleotides) under uncultured bacterium. Its description in RNAcentral is "bacterial SSU rRNA". It matches the Rfam family "Bacterial small subunit ribosomal RNA", at positions 8 to 486 of the family's 1533-position model. The record is from RNAcentral.
AGAGUUUGAUCCUGGCUCAGAAUGAACGUUGGCGGCGUGGAUUAGGCAUGCAAGUCGAGCGCGAACCCCGCAAGGGGGGAGAGCGGCAAACGGGGUAGUAACGGGUAGGUGACGUACCCUCGGGUUGGGGAUAGCCACGGGAAACUGUGGGUAAUACCCAAUAAUCUCUUCACACGUGAUGGUGUGGGGAGCAAAGGUGUGAUUCCACCGGAGGAGCGGCCUGCCUCGUAUUAGCUAGUUGGUGAGGUAACGGCUCACCAAGGCAUCGAUGCGUAGGGGGUGUGAGAGCAUGACCCCCACCACUGGGACUGAGAUACUGCCCAGACACCUACGGGUGGCUGCAGUCGAGAAUCUUCGGCAAUGGGCGCAAGCCUGACCGAGCGACGCCGCGUGUGGGAUGAAGGCCCUUGGGUUGUAAACCACUGUCAGAGGGGAUGAAGUGCCAGCCAGUAAUCUGGUUGGUUUGACAUAGCCUCAGAG